This 253-nucleotide ribosomal RNA is filed under the name uncultured bacterium. RNAcentral's name for it is "partial 16S ribosomal RNA". It matches the Rfam family "Bacterial small subunit ribosomal RNA", at positions 524 to 776 of the family's 1533-position model. RNAcentral also lists the same sequence under 2 other names. The record is from RNAcentral.
UACGUAGGUGGCAAGCGUUGUCCGGAUUUACUGGGCGUAAAGGGCGUGCAGGCGGUUUGUUUAGUCUAGGGUGAAAGCUCCCGGCUUAACUGGGAGAGGUCCUUGGAUACUGGCAAACUUGAGGGAGGCAGAGGAAAGUGGAAUUCCCGGUGUAGUGGUGAUAUGCGUAGAUAUCGGGAGGAACACCAGUGGCGAAGGCGGCUUUCUGGGCCUUACCUGACGCUGAGACGCGAAAGCGUGGGGAGCGAACCGG